GCAGUGCUCCUCAUCGUUGGUGAGAAGGGGCGGCCACGGUGCAGACAGUCGCAGUGCUCCUCGUCGUCAGUGAGAAGGGGCGGCCACGGUGCAGACAGUCGCAGUGCUCCUCGUCGUCGGUGAGAAGGGGCGGCCACGGUGCAGACGGUCGCAGUGCUCCUCAUCGUCGGUGAGAAGGGGCUCCCACGAUCCAGACAGUCGCAGUGCUACUCAUCGUCGGUGAGAAGGGGCGGCCACGGUGCAGACAGUCGCAGUGCUCCUCAUCGUCGGUGAGAAGGGGCGGCCACGGUGCAGACAGUCGCAGUGCUCCUCGUCGUCGGUGAGAAGGGGCGGCCACGGUGCAGACAGUCGCAGUGCUCCUCGUCGUCAGUGAGAAGGGGCGGCCAUGGUGCAGACGGUCGCAGUGCUCUUCGUCGUCGGUGAGAAGGGGCGGCCACGGUGCAGACGGUCGCAGUGCUCC
RNAcentral lists this long non-coding RNA (460 nucleotides) under Homo sapiens (human). RNAcentral describes it as "HSALNT0270168". The record is from RNAcentral. Lineage: Eukaryota; Metazoa; Chordata; Mammalia; Primates; Hominidae.